RNAcentral lists this ribosomal RNA (393 nucleotides) under uncultured bacterium. RNAcentral describes it as "bacterial SSU rRNA". It matches the Rfam family "Bacterial small subunit ribosomal RNA", at positions 364 to 774 of the family's 1533-position model. The record is from RNAcentral.
UUGCACAAUGGGCGAAAGCCUGAUGCAGCAACGCCGCGUGAGUGAUGAAGGCCUUCGGGUUGUAAAGCUCUGUCUUUUGGGACGAUAAUGACGGUACCAAAGGAGGAAGUCACGGCUAACUACGUGCCAGCAGCCGCGGUAAUACGUAGGUGGCGGGCGUUGUCCGGAUUUACUGGGCGUAAAGGAUGCGUAGGAGGAUAUUUAAGUGAGAUGUGAAGUACCCGAGCUUAACUUGGGUGCUGCAUUUCAAACUGGAUAUCGAGAGUGCGGGAGAGGAGAAUGGAAUUCCUAGUGUAGCGGUGAAAUGCGUAGAGAUUAGGAAGAACACCAGUGGCGAAGGCGAUUCUCUGGACGAUAACUGACGCUGAGGCGCGAAAGCGUGGGGAGCAAACA